This 508-nucleotide ribosomal RNA is filed under the name uncultured bacterium. Its description in RNAcentral is "partial 16S ribosomal RNA". It matches the Rfam family "Bacterial small subunit ribosomal RNA", at positions 30 to 523 of the family's 1533-position model. The record is from RNAcentral.
AUUGAACGCUGGCGGCAUGCCUAACACAUGCAAGUCGAACGGCAGCAUGAAAUGGGGUAACCCAUUUUGAUGGCGAGUGGCGGACGGGUGAGUAAUAUGUAGGAAUCUACCUAGAGGUGCGGGAUAACUUAGGGAAACUUAAGCUAAUACCACAUAAGCCCCACGGGGGAAAGCAGGGGACCGCAAGGCCUUGCGCCUUAUGAUGAGCCUACAUCGGAUUAGCUUGUUGGUGGGGUAAAGGCCUACCAAGGCGACGAUCCGUAGCUGGUCUGAGAGGAUGAUCAGCCACACUGGGACUGAGACACGGCCCAGACUCCUACGGGAGGCAGCAGUGGGGAAUAUUGGACAAUGGGCGCAAGCCUGAUCCAGCAAUGCCGCGUGUGUGAAGAAGGCCUUAGGGUUGUAAAGCACUUUCAGUGGGGAGGAAGUUGAGUUUGCUAAUACCAGAUUCAAUUGACGUUACCCACAGAAGAAGCACCGGCUAACUCUGUGCCAGCAGCCGCCGUAA